RNAcentral lists this long non-coding RNA (849 nucleotides) under Malus domestica (apple). RNAcentral describes it as "long non-coding RNA (MDOM_LNC002694)". The record is from RNAcentral. Lineage: Eukaryota; Viridiplantae; Streptophyta; Magnoliopsida; Rosales; Rosaceae.
UCUCUUGUUUGAGUUGUUCUUCAAUUCUUUUGUGAUGAAUAUCAUCUUUCAGGAAUUGAAGAUGUUUAGUCUUAUUAGAGAUUAUGUUUAAGGAUCGCGAAGUGCUAUCCUUCUGUAGGUGCCUAAGUUUUUUGAGGUCUGUUUCCAGGCAGAACUCAAAAGUGACUUUCUGUCCUAAGACUUUUGAGGUAAUCCUAUUAUGAUGUGUUUUAAAAGGAUAGAGGAGUGCUAUAAAGGAUAGUCCUAAUAUGACAGGGUCAGAUAAGUUCUUAAUUAGAACAAAAGGUGUUUUGAAGCAAACUUCAUUUUGGCAGACAUGUGCCUUAGGAAGUUCAUAUUUGAUUUCCAUUGGAGAUUCAUUAGCAGCACUAAGGAUUUCCUUGGAUUUGUGAAAAUACCUAGUGGGAAUUAGGCCUUCUUGAAUACAAUUCAAGUCUGCUCCUGAAUCUAUUAAUGCAAUUGUUUCGAAACGAAAAUCUUCAAUUACUAUUGUUACUUUAGAAUACCAUUUUUGGAUUCUAAUUUUAUGAAGAAGAUUCAGAACUAAGUGUUCUGCAUGUGUAUCAGAUUCUGAUUCAUGGUGACUACUGGAAGAAGAGGAACUGAAUACUUCUUCUUUUGGAGGAGUAUUAACUCUAGUGAGUUGUGUACGAAUGUCGUAGUUAUCAGUUUUUAGGAACUUAAUUUCUUCUUUUAUUUUAUUAAUUUCUUUUUGAAGGUCGCUGACCGUGAUUUCUUUCUUAGUCUUACUAAACUUUGCUAGUGUAGAACUAAGAGAGAUUUGUGGUUUCUGAAUUUGAGAUUGGCUAGUGCCUACUUCUUCUUGAGAGACUAAGUUUUUAAGUUUUU